Molecule: ribosomal RNA, 428 nt
Filed under: Gemmatimonadota bacterium
Lineage: Bacteria; Pseudomonadati; Gemmatimonadota
Description: Gemmatimonadetes bacterium partial 16S ribosomal RNA
Rfam family: Bacterial small subunit ribosomal RNA
Source: RNAcentral
UAGGGAAUCUUCGGCAAUGGACGAAAGUCUGACCGAGCAACGCCGCGUGAGUGAAGAAGGUUUUCGGAUCGUAAACUCUGUUUUUUGAGAAGAACAAAGGCGUUAGUAACUGAACGUCCCCUGAUGGUAUCUUACCAGAAAGCCACGGCUAACUACCUGCCAGCAGCCGCGGUAAUACGUAGGUGGCAAGCGUUGUUCGGAUUUAUUGGGCGUAAAGCGAGCGCAGGCGGUUUCUUAAGUCUGAUGUGAAAGCCCCCGGCUCAACCGGGGGGGGUCAUUGGAAACUGGGAGACUUGAGUGCAGAAGAGGAGAGUGGAAUUCCAUGUGUAGCGGUGAAAUGCGUAGAUAUAAGGAGGAACACCAGUGGCGAAGGCGGCUAUCUGGUCUGUAACUGACGCUGAGGCUCGAAAGCGUGGGGAGCAAACAGG